Molecule: ribosomal RNA, 465 nt
Filed under: Vreelandella stevensii
Lineage: Bacteria; Pseudomonadati; Pseudomonadota; Gammaproteobacteria; Oceanospirillales; Halomonadaceae
Description: partial 16S ribosomal RNA
Rfam family: Bacterial small subunit ribosomal RNA
Source: RNAcentral
CCUACGGGGGGCUGCAGUGGGGAAUAUUGGACAAUGGGGGCAACCCUGAUCCAGCCAUGCCGCGUGUGUGAAGAAGGCCCUCGGGUUGUAAAGCACUUUCAGUGAGGAAGAACGCCUGGUGGUUAAUACCCAUCAGGAAAGACAUCACUCACAGAAGAAGCACCGGCUAACUCCGUGCCAGCAGCCGCGGUAAUACGGAGGGUGCUAGCGUUAAUCGGAAUUACUGGGCGUAAAGCGCGCGUAGGUGGCUUGAUAAGCCGGUUGUGAAAGCCCCGGGCUCAACCUGGGAACGGCAUCCGGAACUGUCAAGCUAGAGUGCAGGAGAGGAAGGUAGAAUUCCCGGUGUAGCGGUGAAAUGCGUAGAGAUCGGGAGGAAUACCAGUGGCGAAGGCGGCCUUCUGGACUGACACUGACACUGAGGUGCGAAAGCGUGGGUAGCAAACAGGAUUAGAUACCCCAGUAGUC